CUCGAGGCCAGAUCUAGAGUUUGAUCCUGGCUGAGGACGAACGCUGGCGGCGUGCUUAACACAUGCAAGUCGAACGAUGAAGCCCAGCUUGCUGGGUGGAAGAGUGGCGAACGGGUGAGUAACACGUGAGUAACCUGCCCUGAACUCUGGGAUAAGCACUGGAAACGGUGUCUAAUACUGGAUACGACCUAUCACCGCAUGGUGUGUGGGUGGAAAGAUUUAUCGGUUUUGGAUGGACUCGCGGCCUAUCAGCUAGAUGGUGAGGUAAUGGCUCACCAUGGCGACGACGGGUAGCCGGCCUGAGAGGGUGACCGGCCACACUAGGACUGAGACACGGCCCAGACUCCUACGGGAGGCAGCAGUGGGGAAUAUUGCACAAUGGGCGCAAGCCUGAUGCAGCAACGCCGCGUGAGGGAUGACGGCCUUCGGAUUGUAAACCUCUUUUAGUAGGGAAGAAGCGAAAGUGACGGUACCUGCAGAAAAAGCACCGGCUAACUACGUGCCAGCAGCCGCGGUAAUACGUAGGGUGCAAGCGUUGUCCGGAAUUAUUGGGCGUAAA
This 559-nucleotide ribosomal RNA is filed under the name uncultured bacterium. RNAcentral's name for it is "bacterial SSU rRNA". It matches the Rfam family "Bacterial small subunit ribosomal RNA", at positions 1 to 564 of the family's 1533-position model. The record is from RNAcentral.